Molecule: non-coding RNA, 334 nt
Organism: Ehrlichia ruminantium str. Gardel
Lineage: Bacteria; Pseudomonadati; Pseudomonadota; Alphaproteobacteria; Rickettsiales; Anaplasmataceae
Source: Rfam
UUUAUUGACUUAUAAGCAGUAUAGUAAUAAAAUACAGCUGUGCUUUUGCACUAUGGCAAUAAAUGCAUCUUAGAAUAAAUGUAUUGGACCCGAGGGCAGUGCUCGGCAUCUCCACUGUUGUUAUUAUGGGGAUGAAACAGGCUCGACAUGCAUAGUAAAGGGGAUAGCUUUUGCUCGGUGAGAAAACAGCCGUUUCAAGUGAUCAAAACUUAUAAGUGCAAACGAUAAUUUCGUUUCCGCUAAUGAUAAUAAUAGCACUGCUAACUUAGUAGCUGCUUAGUUUUAUAAUUAGCACGGUUUUUUGGGGUUUUCCGGGUAACAGAAAAACCCCUCC